This 344-nucleotide ribosomal RNA is filed under the name uncultured eukaryote. RNAcentral's name for it is "SSU rRNA". It matches the Rfam family "Eukaryotic small subunit ribosomal RNA", at positions 567 to 919 of the family's 1831-position model. The record is from RNAcentral.
CCAGCAGCCGCGGUAAUUCCAGCUCCGCAAGUGUAUUCCUAUACUGUUGCGUUUAAAUAGCUCGUAGUUGGAUCUGCGUGUUUAGCGCGCGGUGCCAUUUACUUGGUUACUGUGCCGCGACACUGUAAUGCUUGUUAUCGCGAUGCUCUCACGAGUGUCGUGCUCGAUAAGCAAAGUUUACUUUGAACAAAUCAGAGUGCUCAAAACGGGCGUUUCGCUCGAAUGUUCUUGCAUGGAAUAAUGGAAUAGGACCGCGCGUUCUAUUUUGUUGGUUUUCGGGACGCGGGUAAUGAUUAAGAGGGACAGACGGGGGCAUUUGUACUGCGACGUGAGAGGUGAAAUUC